This 433-nucleotide ribosomal RNA is filed under the name uncultured bacterium. Its description in RNAcentral is "partial 16S ribosomal RNA". It matches the Rfam family "Bacterial small subunit ribosomal RNA", at positions 29 to 507 of the family's 1533-position model. The record is from RNAcentral.
AACGAACGCUGGCGGCAUGCCUAAUACAUGCAAGUCGAACGAGACCUCCGGGUCUAGUGGCGCAUGGGUGCGUAACGCGUGGGAACCUGCCCUUAGGUUUGGAAUAACUCCCCGAAAGGGGUGCCAAUACCGGAUAAUGUCUUCGGACCAAAGAUUUAUCGCCUUUGGAUGGUCCCGCGUUGGAUUCGCUAGUUGGUAGGGUAAAAGCCUACCAAGGCGACGAUCCAUAGCUGGUCUGAGAGGAUGGUCAGCCACACUGGGACUAGGACACGGCCCAGACUCCUACGGGAGGCAGCAGUGGGGAAUAGUGGACAAUGGGCGAAAGCCUGAUCCAGCAAUGCCGCGUGAAUUAUGAAGGCCUUAGGGUUGUAAAGCUCUUUUAACCGGGAUGAUAAUGACAGUACCUAGAGAAUAAGCUCCGGCUAACUCCGUG